AUAAUGGGUCAGCGACUUAUAUUCUGUAGCAAGGUUAACCGAAUAGGGGAGCCGAAGGGAAACCGAGUCUUAACUGGGCGUUAAGUUGCAGGGUAUAGACCCGAAACCCGGUGAUCUAGCCAUGGGCAGGUUGAAGGUUGGGUAACACUAACUGGAGGACCGAACCGACUAAUGUUGAAAAAUUAGCGGAUGACUUGUGGCUGGGGGUGAAAGGCCAAUCAAACCGGGAGAUAGCUGGUUCUCCCCGAAAGCUAUUUAGGUAGCGCCUCGUGAAUUCAUCUCCGGGGGUAGAGCACUGUUUCGGCAAGGGGGUCAUCCCGACUUACCAACCCGAUGCAAACUGCGAAUACCGGAGAAUGUUAUCACGGGAGACACACGGCGGGUGCUAACGUCCGUCGUGAAGAGGGAAACAACCCAGACCGCCAGCUAAGGUCCCAAAGUCAUGGUUAAGUGGGAAACGAUGUGGGAAGGCCCAGACAGCCAGGAUGUUGGCUUAGAAGCAGCCAUCAUUUAAAGAAAGCGUAAUAGCUCACUGGUCGAGUCGGCCUGCGCGGAAGAUGUAACGGGGCUAAACCAUGCACCGAAGCUGCGGCAGCGACGCUGAUGCGUUGUUGGGUAGGGGAGCGUUCUGUAAGCCUGCGAAGGUGUGCUGUGAGGCAUGCUGGAGGUAUCAGAAGUGCGAAUGCUGACAUAAGUAACGAUAAAGCGGGUGAAAAGCCCGCUCGCCGGAAGACCAAGGGUUCCUGUCCAACGUUAAUCGGGGCAGGGUGAGUCGACCCCUAAGGCG
This 787-nucleotide ribosomal RNA is filed under the name Escherichia coli. RNAcentral describes it as "partial 23S ribosomal RNA". It matches the Rfam family "Bacterial large subunit ribosomal RNA", at positions 612 to 1398 of the family's 2925-position model. Lineage: Bacteria; Pseudomonadati; Pseudomonadota; Gammaproteobacteria; Enterobacterales; Enterobacteriaceae. The record is from RNAcentral.